This 253-nucleotide ribosomal RNA is filed under the name uncultured bacterium. RNAcentral's name for it is "partial 16S ribosomal RNA". It matches the Rfam family "Bacterial small subunit ribosomal RNA", at positions 524 to 776 of the family's 1533-position model. The record is from RNAcentral.
UACAGAGGAGCCAAGCGUUGUCCGGAUUGACUGGGCGUAAAGCGCACGCAGGCGGAUGCGCGCGUGGGGUGUGAAAUCUGGCCGCUUAACGGCCAGGCGCCAUCCCAUACUGCGCGUCUGGAGUGAUGCAGAGGUCGGUGGAAUUGCCGGUGUAGUGGUGAAAUGCGUAGAGAUCGGCAGGAACACCCGGGGGGAAACCAGCCGACUGGGCAUCUACUGACGCUGAUGUGCGAGAGCGUGGGGAGCGAACCGG